GGGGCUCUUCGGACCUCAUGCUAUCGGAUGAACCCAGGUGGGAUUAGCUAGUUGGUGAGGUAAUGGCUCACCAAGGCGACGAUCUCUAACUGGUUUGAGAGAAUGACCAGUCACACUGGAACUGAGACACGGUCCAGACUCCUACGGGAGGCAGCAGUGGGGAAUAUUGCACAAUGGGCGCAAGCCUGAUGCAGCCAUGCCGCGUGUGUGAAGAAGG
Molecule: ribosomal RNA, 217 nt
Filed under: Plesiomonas shigelloides
Lineage: Bacteria; Pseudomonadati; Pseudomonadota; Gammaproteobacteria; Enterobacterales; Enterobacteriaceae
Description: partial 16S ribosomal RNA
Rfam family: Bacterial small subunit ribosomal RNA
Source: RNAcentral